GGUCCCGUGGCGCAAUGGUCAGCGCGUCUACCACAUGCGCGGAAGAUCUGUGUUCGAUUCACAGCGGGAUCA
RNAcentral lists this transfer RNA (72 nucleotides) under Fulvia fulva CBS 131901. RNAcentral's name for it is "tRNA-Met (CAT) (tRNA-Met-CAT-4-1)". It matches the Rfam family "tRNA". Rfam says of the family: Transfer RNA (tRNA) molecules are approximately 80 nucleotides in length. Their secondary structure includes four short double-helical elements and three loops (D, anti-codon, and T loops). Further hydrogen bonds mediate the characteristic L-shaped molecular structure. tRNAs have two regions of fundamental functional importance: the anti-codon, which is responsible for specific mRNA codon recognition, and the 3' end, to which the tRNAs corresponding amino acid is attached (by aminoacyl-tRNA synthetases). tRNAs cope with the degeneracy of the genetic code in two manners: having more than one tRNA (with a specific anti-codon) for a particular amino acid; and 'wobble' base-pairing, i.e. permitting non-standard base-pairing at the 3rd anti-codon position. The record is from RNAcentral. Lineage: Eukaryota; Fungi; Ascomycota; Dothideomycetes; Mycosphaerellales; Mycosphaerellaceae.